UGGGGAAUUUUGGACAAUGGGCGCAAGUCUGAUCCAGCCAUGCCGCGUGCGGGAAGAAGGCCUUCGGGUUGUAAACCGCUUUUGUCAGGGAAGAAAUCUUCUGAGUUAAUACCUCGGGAGGAUGACGGUACCUGAAGAAUAAGCACCGGCUAACUACGUGCCAGCAGCCGCGGUAAUACGUAGGGUGCAAGCGUUAAUCGGAAUUACUGGGCGUAAACGUGCGCAGGCGGUUUUGUAAGACAGAGGUGAAAUCCCCGGGCUCAACCUGGGAACUGCCUUUGUGACUGCAAGGCUUGAGUGCGGCAGAGGGGGGAUGGAAUUCCGCGUGUAGCAGUGAAAUGCGUAGAUAUGCGGAGGAACACCGAUGGCGAAGGCAAUCCCCUGGGCCUGCACUGACGCUCAUGCACGAAAGCGUGGGGAGCAAACAGGAUUAGAUAGCCCUGGUAGUCCACGCCCUAAACGAUGUCAACUGGUUGUUGGGAAGGUUCCUUCUCAGUAACGUAGCUAACGCGUGAAGUUGACCGCCUGGGGAGUACGGCCGCAAGGUU
Molecule: ribosomal RNA, 548 nt
Filed under: uncultured bacterium
Lineage: Bacteria
Description: partial 16S ribosomal RNA
Rfam family: Bacterial small subunit ribosomal RNA
Source: RNAcentral